Canis lupus familiaris (dog) is the source of this 1682-nucleotide long non-coding RNA. RefSeq lists it as uncharacterized. The record is from RefSeq and is a predicted model, not a curated record. Lineage: Eukaryota; Metazoa; Chordata; Mammalia; Carnivora; Canidae. The transcript is spliced from 3 exons.
UGCUUUUAGGCAACAAUGGCCUGCAGAGCAAGGCAAAAGGGCCCACAGCCGCCCCUGAGCUGAAGACAGGCAGGCCCAGCAGGCGACCCACCUCAAAAUACCCAGAAGCCCUAGCUGACCAACGGGCUACUGACAACCAGACACAGUUCAAAGUCUGAAAGUGCAAAGUCUGAAGUCGAGGUGUCAGCAGAACUUUGUCCCCUCCAGAGGCUCGAGGGGAGGAUCCUUCCUGGCCUCUUCCAGCUUCUCAGGACCCCAGGCUGCCUUGGCUUGUGGCCCCCAUCCUGCCAGUCUCUGCCUUGGUCUUCGCAUGGCCUUCUCCGUGCGCCUCUGGGUCUUCUUUUCUCUUUCAAAUCUCCCUCUGUUUCUCUUUUAUUUGUGUGUGUGUGCGUGUGUGUGUGUGUGUGUGUGUGUGUGUUUUGUUUCUCUUUUAUAAGGACACCUAAGAUUGCAUUUAGAACCCACCUGGACCAUCCAGGAUAAACUCUCCAUCUCAAGUUCCUCCAUUUAAUCACAUCAUUUGCCGUGUAAGACAAGAGUCACAAGUCCUAGGGAUCAGGAAGUGAAUGAAUCUUUGGAGGGGGCAGUGUUUUCUGCCUACCACAACAGAGAUGAUAGAAGCUGAGGCUCCAUGCAGAAGUGACUUGUCCAAGAAAAAAUCAAAGGAAGAAGGAAACAAACAAACAAACGACAACAACAAAAGAAAUGGGUCCUCCAAGGCCAUUCACAUCAACAGUAUUGAUGCUAUCAUGUAAUAGAAACAGGACCCUUGGAUGCACCAUGGGGGCAGGCUCUGCAUGAAUUGACUUGUAUAUCUUUCCUCAAAGCUCUAGGUAGGAAGGUUGACUAGCAUCCCCAUUUUGCAGAUGGAAAGAUUGAGGACAUCAAGGUAGAGGGUGGGAUGGGGAGCAUAAGGAACUUGCAAGGUCACACCACCAGUAAGUGGCAAAGCCCAGAUUUGAACUGACACUGAGUGGGGCUCAGAUCUGUGUUCUUGGCUAGGACUGGUCUAUGUGGUAGGGUCGGCAAUUUGGUAGGGAGCAAGUGUAUGAUGCCCCUACCCUCACAGAGCUCAAGUCCCGUGGGGCCCACAGGUGACACAAAAGAAAAUUGGCAGAAAUAAUAAUUAAGAGCUAAGACAGAUGGAAAAAGGGUACAGGGCUGGAGAAUGCAGGGAUUGGGCAUCCAUGGGGUGUCCAGGUUUAGUGGUAGCUGGACAGGCUUCUCCCGAAGAAGCAUUUGGUUAAGCUCCAAGGGAGCCCUAGAAGGCAUAUAGGGACUUAAACAUCUUUAUAAAACUCCUUAUAAUUCCCUCAAAUGAAAACCAGGUGGGAAUUGUAUAAUAAAAACCAAUAUGGGGGCACCUGGGUGGCUCAAUCGUUUAAGCAUCUGCUUUUGGCUCAGUCAUGAUUUUGGGGUCCUGGGAUCAAGCCCCAAGUGGGGGAUCCCUACUCAGUGGGAAGUCUGCUUCUCCCUCUCUAUCUGCCCCCACCCAGGCUUGUGCUCUCUCUCCCUCUCUCUCUCUCCAAUAAAUAAAAAACCCAUCCUGGCCACCUCAUACUCAUUAGGAUAACUAUAUACUUUUUUAAAAAUCAGAAAAUUGGGACGCCUGGGUGGCUCCUUGGUUAAGUGUCGGACUUUUGGUUUCAGCUCAAGUUGUGAUCUCAUGGUCAUGAGAUCGA